Molecule: small nuclear RNA, 135 nt
Organism: Otolemur garnettii (small-eared galago)
Lineage: Eukaryota; Metazoa; Chordata; Mammalia; Primates; Galagidae
Source: Ensembl
CAAACGGGCCUCUCUGGUGAGUGGUACACACAGGGCAACUUGACUGCUCUUCACGUCCAAUUGGCAUCGAGAGAUUUCAGGAAGCAUAAUUUUUUGGUACCUGGGUAACUGGUGAUCAUUGGUCUCGGUGUCCUU